Molecule: unclassified non-coding RNA, 268 nt
Filed under: Hevea brasiliensis (rubber tree)
Lineage: Eukaryota; Viridiplantae; Streptophyta; Magnoliopsida; Malpighiales; Euphorbiaceae
Source: RNAcentral
UUUGUGGGUCAAAAUAAAGGACAUAUAGUGACAAAGAACGAAUCGGCUCCACAUCCUUCUGGCAGAAUGGGGGUGGGCCAAUUUUCUUUUCUUUUUAUUGAAAUAAUCCUGUUUGGACUCUGGAGUUAGAAAUAUUUUCGUGUGCCAUGUAUAACCCUUUAAUGCGAAGGCAUUUCACGACAUUUUUCUUUUAGAGAACUAGCAAGAGGGUCAGUUUUGUGAGGGGCCUCAUCAGGGAGGUGGUUGGUUUUGCUCCUUAUGAGAAGAG